This 550-nucleotide ribosomal RNA is filed under the name uncultured bacterium. Its description in RNAcentral is "bacterial SSU rRNA". It matches the Rfam family "Bacterial small subunit ribosomal RNA", at positions 110 to 695 of the family's 1533-position model. The record is from RNAcentral.
GUAACGCGUGGGGACCUACCUCUUAGUGGGGGAUAACGGUUGGAAACGACCGCUAAUACCGCAUACGCCCUUCGGGGGAAAGAUUUAUCGCUAAGGGAUGGACCCGCGUUGGAUUAGAUAGUUGGUGAGGUAACGGCUCACCAAGUCAGCGAUCCAUAGCUGGUUUGAGAGGAUGAUCAGCCACACUGGGACUGAGACACGGCCCAGACUCCUACGGGAGGCAGCAGUGGGGAAUAUUGGACAAUGGGGGCAACCCUGAUCCAGCCAUGCCGCGUGAGUGAAGAAGGCCUUCGGGUUGUAAAGCUCUUUCAGAUGCGAAGAUGAUGACGGUAACAUCAGAAGAAGCCCCGGCUAAUUUCGUGCCAGCAGCCGCGGUAAUACGAAAGGGGCUAGCGUUGUUCGGAUUUACUGGGCGUAAAGGGCACGCAGGCGGUCUUGCCAGUCAGGGGUGAAAGCCCGAGGCUCAACCUCGGAACUGCCUCUGAUACUGUAAGACUUGAGACUAGGAGAGGGUGGUGGAAUUCCCAGUGUAGAGGUGAAAUUCGUAGAU